AGCAUCCUUCGGGAAGGUGGAAGUGGAGAUAGUCACCAUUCUGAUCAUGCCUUUUCUGAUGCUGCUCUAUUGGAUCAAAGGGAAGAUGCAAAUUCAAGUGGAGCUAGUACACCCAGGGGAGAUGUUCACUUUUCUCCAUUUGGGGUUUUUUCUAAUAUUGCAAAAGAGGAGCGCACUCCAGAAAAAUCCUCGAGAGAUUCUGGAGAUGAGAAUGAGGGAAAACCUGGGAUUUCUAAGAUUAUAACCUCAAAGGCAGAGG
RNAcentral lists this unclassified non-coding RNA (259 nucleotides) under Hevea brasiliensis (rubber tree). Lineage: Eukaryota; Viridiplantae; Streptophyta; Magnoliopsida; Malpighiales; Euphorbiaceae. The record is from RNAcentral.